Molecule: ribosomal RNA, 512 nt
Filed under: Hanseniaspora uvarum
Lineage: Eukaryota; Fungi; Ascomycota; Saccharomycetes; Saccharomycodales; Saccharomycodaceae
Description: LSU rRNA
Rfam family: Eukaryotic large subunit ribosomal RNA
Source: RNAcentral
AAACCAACUGGGAUUACCUUAGUAACGGCGAGUGAAGCGGUAAAAGCUCAAAUUUGAAAUCUGGUACUUUCAGUGCCCGAGUUGUAAUUUGUAGAAUUUGUCUUUGAUUAGGUCCUUGUCUAUGUUCCUUGGAACAGGACGUCAUAGAGGGUGAGAAUCCCGUUUGGCGAGGAUACCUUUUCUCUGUAAGACUUUUUCGAAGAGUCGAGUUGUUUGGGAAUGCAGCUCAAAGUGGGUGGUAAAUUCCAUCUAAAGCUAAAUAUUGGCGAGAGACCGAUAGCGAACAAGUACAGUGAUGGAAAGAUGAAAAGAACUUUGAAAAGAGAGUGAAAAAGUACGUGAAAUUGUUGAAAGGGAAGGGCAUUUGAUCAGACAUGGUGUUUUUUGCAUGCACUCGCCUCUCGUGGGCUUGGGCCUCUCAAAAAUUUCACUGGGCCAACAUCAAUUCUGGCAGCAGGAUAAAUCAUUAAGAAUGUAGCUACUUCGGUAGUGUUAUAGCUUUUUGGAAUACU